AGAAUAUCAUGAAAUUUGGUAGCUUAACCAUACUGCCCUGUUUUGCCUCUGGUAGAGAAUUUGUCUCCAGAAAACUGCUCUCUUUGAUCAGCUGGGAUCGAAGAUGGCCAUUUCUGGACAAAGUCAUUUAAUGCACCUGCUAUCUGAAAAAUGUCAUGCAAACAGAAUCUUAUCUGUUGUUUUGAAACAACUAUUGUAAGGCUUAAAGAUUUCAUCAGCAGAACAGACCUUUAGUGCACAACUUUCUACCUUAUGGUCUACAUCCAGCAUAACAAAAGGAAAGUGAAGUCAAUGGUCUCAGCUCGGUGCACAUAAGUGCUGGACAAACAGCAACUUAUUCCAGUACAGAAAGGAGAAGAAUGUUCCUCUGUUGCCCUUUUUAUUAUCCUCGUUACGAAUUUUCAUUGCCGAAAGAUUCAUUCCUUUUACUGACAUUUCCGUGGCUACUCAUCUCUAAAAAGAUGCGACUUAAGGCCAGGAAGGCACUGUUUCUCUGCAUGCCUCAGACUUUGAAUGUAGGUGUUGGUUCUUCCCAUUUUGCACGGAUCUUAUUCUGCAAGUCCUUGCCACUUAAUUGGACUUUACUCCCCAUCUUGAUUUGUGUAUGAAGAAUUUGUUCUCUGAAUUUAAAUAUUUUUCCUGAGCUCAUCUCUUUG
This is a long non-coding RNA of Gallus gallus (chicken), 656 nucleotides long. NCBI's taxonomy places the organism in Eukaryota, Metazoa, Chordata, Aves, Galliformes, Phasianidae. The record is from Ensembl.